This 293-nucleotide ribosomal RNA is filed under the name uncultured bacterium. Its description in RNAcentral is "partial 16S ribosomal RNA". It matches the Rfam family "Bacterial small subunit ribosomal RNA", at positions 335 to 642 of the family's 1533-position model. The record is from RNAcentral.
AGGCCUACGGGGGGCAGCAGUGGGGAAUAUUGGGCAAUGGGCGCAAGCCUGACCCAGCAACGCCGCGUGAAGGAAGAAGGCUUUCGGGUUGUAAACUUCUUUUCUCAGGGACGAAGAAAGUGACGGUACCUGAGGAAUAAGCCACGGCUAACUACGUGCCAGCAGCCGCGGUAAUACGUAGGUGGCAAGCGUUAUCCGGAUUUACUGGGUGUAAAGGGCGUGUAGGCGGGGAAGCCAGUCAGAUGUGAAAACCACGGGCCCAACCUGUGGCCUGCAUUUGAAACUGGUUUUUU